Molecule: non-coding RNA, 264 nt
Organism: Pelobates cultripes (western spadefoot toad)
Lineage: Eukaryota; Metazoa; Chordata; Amphibia; Anura; Pelobatidae
Source: the annotation of a GenBank genome assembly
GACCAUUCUAACUCUGUUAUAUCAUUAGCUAAUCCCAAUAAGAAUUGUCUUAUAAUCACCCAUUUAUAAUGCUCGUUAACAUGGCUAUGCAUAUACUGAAUUACUCUGACGGAGUGCCUUGUAACAUUCUGCUCACACCAGCAAGGUGACUCUACUUGUGAUUAAGAUAUACCAGCAUGUGUACACAUACAGAAAUAAACAGAUAAUGCAUGCUCAUGUUCAAGGUCCAUCAAAGCAACAUUGAUAUUAAGUAAUAUUCUAUAU